This 215-nucleotide ribosomal RNA is filed under the name Campeiostachys nutans. RNAcentral describes it as "Elymus nutans partial small subunit ribosomal RNA". The stretch from base 37 to 215 matches the Rfam family "Eukaryotic small subunit ribosomal RNA", at positions 684 to 864 of the family's 1831-position model. Lineage: Eukaryota; Viridiplantae; Streptophyta; Magnoliopsida; Poales; Poaceae. The record is from RNAcentral.
GGGUUAGUAGGUUGGUCAUGCCUCUGGUAUGUACUGAUCUCACUGAUUCUUCCUUCUGACGAACCAUGUUGUCAUUAAUUUGGUGUUUUGGGGAAUUUGGACUGUUACUUUGAAAAAAUUAGAGUGUUUAAAGCAAGCUAACGCUUGAAUACAUUAGCAUGGAAUAAUGAAAUAGGACGUUCGAUCCUAUUUUGUUGGUUUCUAGGAUUGACGUA